Molecule: ribosomal RNA, 253 nt
Filed under: uncultured bacterium
Lineage: Bacteria
Description: partial 16S ribosomal RNA
Rfam family: Bacterial small subunit ribosomal RNA
Source: RNAcentral
UACGUAGGGGGCAAGCGUUGUCCGGAUUCAUUGGGCGUAAAGAGCGUGUAGGCGGCCAGGUAGGUCGGUUGUGAAAACUGGAGGCUCAACCUUCAGAGGUCGACCGAAACCAUCUGGCUAGAGUCCGGGAGAGGAGAGUGGAAUUCCGGGUGUAGCGGUGGAAUGCGUAGAGAUCCGGAAGAACACCGGUGGCGAAGGCGGCCUGCUGGGCAGUAGCUGACGCUGAAGCGCGACAGCGUGGGGAGCAAACAGG